CCCACUUCCAGGAGAGGUUUGGAGGGGCGGACUUGGAACCAGGCAGGUAGGUGGGUGGGAGUCCCACGUUCCUGUGUGGUCCUGAGAAAGUUACUUCCCCUCUCUGGGCCCGUCUCAACCCUAAGCCAGCGACAAGGAGAGUAGGUGCCGCAUCUGGGCCCCUCCUGGCACUGGGGAGGCUGCUCUGACGGGGCCUCCUCCCUGACUGAACCUUUCCAGGAAACUGCAGCUGCGGCUGCUCCACGGUGCUCCUCAUUGAAUGAAGGCCCCUCUUCCUUCUGGUCUGCCUCCCCGGCUGGGUGGCCAGGGUCAGAGAAGGGAAGGUGGUGAGGCACUGGAAGCCCCCCACCCGCACCCCGGCUGAGAGGACAAUGAGGAAAUGCUGGACUGGACUCUGGGGCGACCCUCACAGAAGGCUGAGGCAGCAGCCACGCUAAGGACCAGAACUGCAGGAGUAGCCAUCAUGGAGCAGCCAGAUGUGCCCCACCCACCCAGCUGCCUGGGACACCCACUCUGAUGACAGCCACCCUCCACCCUACCUUGGCGCCUGGACCUUUUACCUACCUUCAUCCUUCGCUAGCUGUACCUAACUCCUGGGUCUCAGCCUGACUGUCUAAAGGAGUGCUCUGAGCUCUUGGGAAGUGGGUGCUUCCAGGGGAGGCCGCCCCUUUAAGACAGACAUUGUGUGAGAGGGGACAUCAGGAGGCAGCCUCAAGUCCAUCUCUGUGGAAACUGUUAGAAAAGUUAGCUUCUUUUUCUCCUCUGUCUUCCAGGAGCUUGACCUCUGGCCCCGGGGCCCAUCUGAGUGGUGGGCAGACCCAGAGCGGGGUGAAGGGGCAGAGCCAUGCCAAGAGAGGCUGUCGUUGGUAAGGGCUUUGAGUCCCUGUAUAUUGAUUCUGCCAGCCCAAGGGACUCUCAGAGGGUUGGCACCUAGCCCCUCCCGGGGCCCCUGAGCUCAGGACUGAGGCUGCUGCCAGACUGAAGGGGGGGAUGGGAACACGCCCCAAAGGACAAGGACAAAGGCCACAGAGGGGCGUGAGCUUCAGAGGCACAGCGCACGCACGUGCUCCUCGCCCAGGCCUGGGAACUGGCAGGGACCCGGGAUGGUGACCCAGAAACCUGGCCGUCAGCUGCUCCUGCCAGCACU
RNAcentral lists this long non-coding RNA (1147 nucleotides) under Meriones unguiculatus (Mongolian gerbil). Its description in RNAcentral is "lncRNA (ENSMUGG00000018760.1)". Lineage: Eukaryota; Metazoa; Chordata; Mammalia; Rodentia; Muridae. The record is from RNAcentral.